RNAcentral lists this ribosomal RNA (279 nucleotides) under uncultured Staphylococcus sp. Its description in RNAcentral is "partial 16S ribosomal RNA". It matches the Rfam family "Bacterial small subunit ribosomal RNA", at positions 83 to 355 of the family's 1533-position model. The record is from RNAcentral. Lineage: Bacteria; Bacillati; Bacillota; Bacilli; Caryophanales; Staphylococcaceae.
CCUUUGACGUUAGCGGCGGACGGGUGAGUAACACGUGGGUAACCUACCUAUAAGACUGGGAUAACUUCGGGAAACCGGAGCUAAUACCGGAUAAUAUUUCGAACCGCAUGGUUAGAUAGUGAAAGGUGGUUUUGCUAUCACUUAUAGAUGGACCCGCGCCGUAUUAGCUAGUUGGUAAGGUAACGGCUUACCAAGGCGACGAUACGUAGCCGACCUGAGAGGGUGAUCGGCCACACUGGAACUGAGACACGGUCCAGACUCCUACGGGAGGCAGCAGCC